CAAAAUUAAUCGAAUAUUUGUACUAACAGUGAAAUUCAUUUCCUCUUAUUUAUAACGCUUUUGUGAAAAAAGCUCUGAGCUCUAGUCAUUUAUUGUUUUAUAUGAAAAUAAGUAUAGCAUAACAUCGUAAACGAUUAUUUUACACGACGUUAUAAUCUUUAAAAUAAUUGAAAAUAAUGCAGAUACAUAGUAUCAAUACAGUACAGCACAGUAUUAUACAAACUCAUGGAAGAAGUAGUUCACUAUUCCACGUGUUUUCGAUCAUUUACUCAAGUUUACUAGAGGUUUGAGUAUUUCAAUACUUAUGUAGAAUAAAUAUUAUAAAUAUGUAUUAGUAGUUAAUAAAUUAGAGUAUCAAGUUUAAAUAAAAAGCUCUAAUUUAUUAUUUAUGUGCAAUGUCGUUAUUAAGGGUUAGGUACGAAUUUCGUAAGUAUUAUGAUAAAUACAAUGAAAAUCAUUGAUUUAUUGUGAUACACUGUUCUAGCCAGAGAUGUUUACCAGUACUUACCAAAUAACGUGUGUAAUUAAAAUGAUGCAUGUCGAAAUAACUGUAAAUAUCUGUGUUAUAUUAAAUUCUUUAUUUUAUAUUUUAUGUGUACCUAGAUCAAGCAUCAAGAUAGAGUAUUGGGAACAAGUAUUGUCAGCAUGGAAUAAAAAAGACAUACAAUGAAAGUAUUAAUGUUUUCAAUAAUACUUUUAAUAUUCUUCAAAAGAUACCGAUUGAAUGAGCAAGGCCCGCAUAUAUGUGUAACGUUGUAGCGCCCAUGAUAAAAGUAGUAAUAGCU
Molecule: long non-coding RNA, 785 nt
Organism: Hylaeus anthracinus
Lineage: Eukaryota; Metazoa; Arthropoda; Insecta; Hymenoptera; Colletidae
Exons: 3
Source: RefSeq, a predicted model, not a curated record